Molecule: ribosomal RNA, 472 nt
Filed under: bacterium PN45
Lineage: Bacteria
Description: bacterial SSU rRNA
Rfam family: Bacterial small subunit ribosomal RNA
Source: RNAcentral
UUGAUCCUGGCUCAGAUUGAACGCUGGCGGCAUGCCUUACACAUGCAAGUCGAACGGCAGCACGGGGGCAACCCUGGUGGCGAGUGGCGAACGGGUGAGUAAUACAUCGGAACGUGUCCUGUAGUGGGGGAUAGCCCGGCGAAAGCCGGAUUAAUACCGCAUACGCUCUACGGAGGAAAGGGGGGGAUCUUAGGACCUCCCGCUACAGGGGCGGCCGAUGGCAGAUUAGCUAGUUGGUGGGGUAAAGGCCUACCAAGGCGACGAUCUGUAGCUGGUCUGAGAGGACGACCAGCCACACUGGGACUGAGACACGGCCCAGACUCCUACGGGAGGCAGCAGUGGGGAAUUUUGGACAAUGGGCGAAAGCCUGAUCCAGCAAUGCCGCGUGUGUGAAGAAGGCUUCGGGUUGUAAAGCACUUUUGUCCGGAAAGAAAACCUCCGCCCUAAUAUGGUGGGGGGAUGACGGUACCGG